Non-coding RNA from Acanthosepion pharaonis, 113 nucleotides. The record is from the annotation of a GenBank genome assembly. NCBI's taxonomy places the organism in Eukaryota, Metazoa, Mollusca, Cephalopoda, Sepiida, Sepiidae.
UUACGGCCACAUCAAGUUGAAACACCGGUCCCCGUACGAUCACCGAAGUUAAACAACGUUGAGCCCGGCCAAUACUAGAUGGGUGCCUGCUUGGGAAUACCUGGUACCGUAAU